CUCUCACUGGCCUGGAAUCUGUCACACGCUAUAGGCCAGUCAGCCAGUGACUUCCUGGAAUCUGCCUGUAUCUUGUCUUCACAGUUGAAGAAUGUGCACCACCACAUCAGGCAUUUUGAACUUGGAUUGUCGGGGAUCGAACUCAGGGCCUUGUGCUUGCAAGUUACCUCUGUCUUCUGAAUUUGAUGGCCCCGUGAGGCUCAUCAGGCUGUUGAAAAGUUGAUUUGUAUUCUGGACACCUCUGAAGAUGAGAAGUUUUCAAGUCUCCUGGUUAAUGGGGGACCUGGGUUCAAUUCCCAGCACCAACAUGAUGGGUCAUAACCACCUGUAACUCCAGUUCCAAAGCAUGUUACACCCUUUUGAG
Mesocricetus auratus (golden hamster) is the source of this 364-nucleotide long non-coding RNA. RefSeq lists it as uncharacterized. The record is from RefSeq and is a predicted model, not a curated record. NCBI's taxonomy places the organism in Eukaryota, Metazoa, Chordata, Mammalia, Rodentia, Cricetidae. The transcript is spliced from 3 exons.